GCGCAGCGCAAUGUCAGCCUCAACAAUUGUGAUUACUUGAACGUGAUUUAUACGCGAGCGCGCGCUCCAUCCGGUUUUAACAUUCCGUGAAUACAAAUGAGUUACAAGGAAGCCCAGCGUGUUUGUCGGGCAAAAAGUGAGGAAAUGUCUCGUGAGCUGCCAACUCAUUGUGGAAUUGAGAAAUAACUUCGAAGGGCCUUCGAAUGUGCAGCGUUGAGUUGUAAGUCACAAUCGGAAAUAAAAAUAAAAGCAAAAUGAUGACGAGAUGUAAAAACACUCAAAGAUGAAAUGAAAUGAAAUGGAGCAGAGCGUAGAAAGGAAAAAAAUGAAGGUUUUACCUUAUGCGCUCGCAUCAACUCCUCCUGGAAAUCAAUUACCGCGCAGAGACGUUGGAGAUGACAAGCAGACGAGUACGAGUACUCGUAGAUGACGAUGGGAAGAUGUUCGAGGAGUGCUUCCGCGGGUUCUUAUCUUUACUUAUACAUAUAUAGAUUGAGGUAGAGGUGUAUAGAAGGAGAAGGAGUUUUGUGAGUGAGUGUGUGUGGCGUUGUGUUCACGCUCGCGCAAGUUUGCAAGGAGGCGAGCCAAGCAGCCAAUAAUGGCACUUGAUUAGCGCAAUCCGCGGAAAGCGUUCGGCAAUCAUCUUCCGAUAUAGUCAGUGCACACCAGCGCGCGCUCAAUUUCCCUUUGUGAGCAUAUUUAGGAAUUCAGUUAAUAAUCUCUUAGAAAUUAUAUUCUCAAGAUGGUGAAUAGUAAAAAUAUUAAGUUUUUAAUAAGUUUUAAUCAAAAUUUUAUUAAAAAUGUUGAGAAAUUAAAUUUUACAAUUGAUAUAGGAAACACUCAGUAUAUUUUUAUAAUAUUGAAAUAAAAUAAAUGUAUUUUUGUUGUUAUUUUUCUUAUUUUAGGCAAAAUUUGACAAAAAACUCAAUUUAUUGAAGUUUAUGAAGUUUUUAAUAGCAAAUUGUUUUUCUAAGGACAUUUAAGGGCAUUUAACAAGAAUUUUUAGGGUUGAAAUAGUGCGGAUAUGGUUAAUAAUCUCAUAAACUUUAAUUUGUUAAAGAAAAACUUGAAUUAUCUUUAUUUUUGGAGAAGAUAUAAGGAUUUUUCUACUUCAAUGAAUAUAUGAGUAGAUUUUUUUAUAUUUUUUUAAUAUUUAGGUAAUCCAAAAAUAUAAAAUAAAAUCAAAA
This is a long non-coding RNA of Dalotia coriaria, 1187 nucleotides long. RefSeq lists it as uncharacterized. The record is from RefSeq and is a predicted model, not a curated record. The transcript has 2 exons. NCBI's taxonomy places the organism in Eukaryota, Metazoa, Arthropoda, Insecta, Coleoptera, Staphylinidae.